Molecule: ribosomal RNA, 433 nt
Filed under: uncultured bacterium
Lineage: Bacteria
Description: bacterial SSU rRNA
Rfam family: Bacterial small subunit ribosomal RNA
Source: RNAcentral
GAACGCGAAGAACCUUACCAGGUCUUGACAUCCCUCUGACCGCUCUAGAGAUAGAGCUUUCCUUCGGGACAGAGGUGACAGGUGGUGCAUGGUUGUCGUCAGCUCGUGUCGUGAGAUGUUGGGUUAAGUCCCGCAACGAGCGCAACCCCUAUUGUUAGUUGCCAUCAUUGAGUUGGGCACUCUAGCGAGACUGCCGGUAAUAAACCGGAGGAAGGUGGGGAUGACGUCAAAUCAUCAUGCCCCUUAUGACCUGGGCUACACACGUGCUACAAUGGCUGGUACAACGAGUCGCGAGUCGGUGACGGCAAGCUAAUCUCUUAAAGCCAGUCUCAGUUCGGAUUGUAGGCUGCAACUCGCCUACAUGAAGUCGGAAUCGCUAGUAAUCGCGGAUCAGCACGCCGCGGUGAAUACGUUCCCGGGUCUUGUACACACC